GAUGAAGAACGUAGCGAAAUGCGAUACUUGGUGUGAAUUGCAGAAUCCCGUGAACCAUCGAGUCUUUGAACGCAAGUUGCGCCCGAAGCCAUUAGGCCGAGGGCACGCCUGCCUGGGCGUCACACGUCGUUGCCCCCCCAUCUACUCCUUCGGGAUUGCGGGGGGCGGAUGAUGGCCUCCCGUGCGCCUCGUCGCGCGGUUGGCAUAAAUGCCAAGUCCUCGGCGACGCACGCCACGACAAUCGGUGGUUGCGAAACCUCGGUUGCCCGUCGUGUGCGGUCGUCACGCAUCGAGCGCUCGAAAAAAUUGCCGGGCUCCGGCUCGGCUUUCAACGCGACCCCAGGUCAGGCGGGGUUACCCGCUGAAUUUAAGCAUAUCAAUAAGCGGAGGA
Molecule: unclassified non-coding RNA, 391 nt
Filed under: soil metagenome
Description: partial contains 5.8S ribosomal RNA, internal transcribed spacer 2, and large subunit ribosomal RNA
Rfam family: 5.8S ribosomal RNA (bases 1-122)
Source: RNAcentral